ACCUAAUAUUUCUAAAUUUCAAAAGCAAUUUAGUAAAUAUAAUCUGUAUUGUGGACCGUAAGCGCUAACCAAUUAUCUCAAAAAUACGUGUUGAAAGGAAGGGAGGGCGCACUAAUCGUAUUUAAGGACUCAACCACAGCGCUCACGGGCUUCGAUCCGACUCAACCCACCUGAAGGUUAGGUCUAUUGUCGGGCAUCUUGCCUUUAGGUCUCUUGUGAACCGCAACACUACUCAACUUAUUAAACUCAUCCAACUCAACUUAUUAGUCUUCUCGACCUAUUAUUAUGGGGCAGAAAAUAAGACAUAUUUU
This 311-nucleotide long non-coding RNA is filed under the name Ananas comosus (pineapple). RNAcentral describes it as "long non-coding RNA (ACOM_LNC013754)". The record is from RNAcentral. Lineage: Eukaryota; Viridiplantae; Streptophyta; Magnoliopsida; Poales; Bromeliaceae.